This 499-nucleotide ribosomal RNA is filed under the name uncultured bacterium. RNAcentral's name for it is "partial 16S ribosomal RNA". It matches the Rfam family "Bacterial small subunit ribosomal RNA", at positions 28 to 507 of the family's 1533-position model. The record is from RNAcentral.
GACGAACGCUAGCGGCGUGCUUAACACAUGCAAGUCGAACGGGCCCGCCCCUGUUUUUGGGGGUGGGUUGAGUGGCGAACGGGUGAGUAUCACGUGAGUAACCUGCCCCCUGCUCCUGGAUAACUGCUUGAAAGGGCGGCUAAUACGGGGUGUGCCGGCUGGUCCGCAUGGGCCUGGUCGGGAUAGUUUCAUCUUCGGGUGUUUCGGUGGGGGAUGGGCUCGCGGCCUAUCAGCUUGUUGGUGGGGUGAUGGCCCACCAAGGCGGUGACGGGUAGCCGGCCUGAGAGGGUGGGCGGCCACACUGGGACUGAGACACGGCCCAGACUCCUGCGGGAGGCAGCAGUGGGGGGUAUUGCACAAUGGGCGGAAGCCUGAUGCAGCGACGUCGCGUGAGGGAUGGAGGCCUUCGGGUUGUGAACCUCUUUCUCCGGUGGUGAAGGCCCUGUCCGUUGCGGCGGGGUUGACGGUAGCCGGGUAUGAAGCGCCGGCUAACUACGUG